This 426-nucleotide ribosomal RNA is filed under the name Triticum aestivum (bread wheat). RNAcentral's name for it is "partial small subunit ribosomal RNA". The record is from RNAcentral. Lineage: Eukaryota; Viridiplantae; Streptophyta; Magnoliopsida; Poales; Poaceae.
AUGCAGGUGCUCGCCUGGCUGGCUGGGCUAGCAGCUGUAUGGGAACGGCGGUGGGGUCUCGGUGCGUGCGGGCCUGGCCGCGGCUCUGCUGUUGUCUUCGGCAAGGGUCUUGCCGUGGCACCGCGGUCGUCCCCGGCAAGGAUGUUGCCGGAGGUCUCGUCUUCCGGUCCUCAUCUGAUAUCGCGUGUGUUAAUGAUCUUCACAAAGAUCUGUAUGCCACCAUGGAGGUGCCUCCCGAGCCUUGGUUCCAAUGUGGUUGAUGGUGUUGGAAACCUCGGGCUCAAGGGUGGCGUGCUCCGUUGGUGUUGGGCAGGCCGCCCCGGCAAGGCUCUUGCCGGGGCUGCGGAGGCCGCCCCGGCAAGGGUCUUGCCAGGGGAGCCCACCUCGCCCUCUCGCUCUUCGCGUUUCUGUCUUGGCGUUGCUUGA